UUGAAUCGUCCAGUUUUGACUAUACAAGGAGGGAAAAAAGAAGACGUUAAUGUAGUUUCAAAGUAAACGUUUAACGUUUAAUUUGGACCCAAGACCUGCUUGCAAAUCAGCUUCGACAACAUUACCCAGAAAGAUCAAUUUCCUCAUAACCAUCCUCUUGGGCUUUGUAGACACAUAUGUUUUUCUUCUUUAAUGUUAACAUCUUUGUUCUGACUACCAUGAAAAUUCUUUUGGCGGUAUGUUUCUCCACGUGAUUAGCUUGUUGCAGCUUGAAACUGUCACACAAUGGUCAAGAAAUUCACAAGAAAGAUGUUUGAUUACCAGAUGUUCAUCCUUAGCCGUGCCAAAUCCCGAUUCUUCUCUAUCAUCACGCUCGCUGUGUUGAUCUUUAUCAUCUACACAGUCUGUAUCGUCUCUGAGAUGUCCCACAAGUCUGUUCAUGCGUUUUAUACUGAUCAUAAGAAAAUUGAAGGGGAGCUAGGGACUCAUGAAGGAGCUGAUCAAGGAGCAAUAUUAAAAUCAAGUACCAUCAAUCCCAUAAAAUUACGUUCCAUUCAAGAAGAGGGUGAUGAUGAUCGAGUUGACGAUGAUAAGGAUCAUUUUCCUGUUCCUCCCUUCAAUGUCUCAGAACAGGAAAGGAUUGAGUGGUUGCGGAAAAACAUACCAAAGUUUGAGAUUUUCAAGUCAAACAACUUCACUCGAAGGUUUCAUGGUCGGGUCCUGGAGUUCUUCAACCGUGAUAGCUGCGAGGCUCAGUUCUUCAUGACAUGGAUUGCACCAGCAAAGUGGUUUGGAGAAAGAGAGUUCUUGGCUAUGAAGAGCCUUUUCAAGGUCCACCCACGUGGGUGUUUGAUGAUUCUGUCAAGAAGCAUGGACUCAGCACAAGGGCACAUGAUUCUGAAACCACUUCUCGACCGGGGGUUGAAAGUGAAAGCUGUGACACCGGACCUGGCAUUUCUGUUCAAGGGGACCCCAGCUAAAACUUGGUUUGAUGGGAUUAGGAGUGGGAAAAAAGACCCUGGUGAGAUCUCACUAGCUCAGAAUCUAUCUAAUUUGUUGAGACUUGCAGUUUUGUUCAAGUAUGGAGGUGUCUACUUGGACACCGAUUUCAUUGUUAUAAAACCUUUUACUGGGUUGAAGAACUCAAUUGGAGCACAGAGUAUUGACGUGGAGUCUAGGAAAUGGACAAGGUUGAAUAAUGCGAUUUUGGUGUUUGAUAUGAAUCAUCCAUUACUGCUCAAAUUCAUGGAGGAAUUUGCAUACACUUUUGAUGGGAAUAAAUGGGGUCACAAUGGUCCCUAUUUGGUUUCCAGGGUGGUUGAGAGAGUAAGAAUGAGACCUGGUUAUAAUUUCAGUGUCUUGCCCCCUAUGGCCUUCUAUCCUGCAGAUUGGAUUAGGAUAAGAAGGUUUUUUCAAAAGCCAAAAAACCAGAAUGAUUUGAGAUGGGUAAAAGCCAAGCUGCUUCAGCUAAGUGAGGAGACUUAUGGAGUACACCUAUGGAACAAGCAAACAAGCAGAUUAACAAUCGAACAGGGAAGCGUCCUUGGAAGAUUAAUCUCAGAUCACUGUGUCAUUUGCAACAAGAUCACUAAUAUCAGAAAAUCCUACCACAUAUCAGAAUCCUAAGCCGUCUCAAUUUCAACCCGAAUCUAAAUCCUCUGCAUCUCCAAAACCCAAAUCCAGGCAAUCUCUUAAAUGACUUUUUUCUUCUCAAUUUGCGGUUGCUAUGUUUGACCUUCCUAUUCCCAAAGCCAAAUUCUUUAUCCUUGAAGUUGCCUUCUGAAGCAAGCUUAGAUUGAGCAUCAGUUCCAGGAUCAUGGAUGGCUCCAAACUGCUUGAUGGAUGCCCAUGGAUCAGGAGCUUCAUAGUCUGAAUCGCUGACCCACAAAGGUAUAGGCUUUAUUAUAGGGGAGCCGCUGUACUCCUCAAAACACUUUGCCAAACUGAGAACGAAGAACAAGAAGCUGAAGAAGACGAGGACGAAGAAGAAGAAGAAGAUGAUGACGAACUCCAAUACAAAGAUUUCUGGUGCUCCAAAAUCCGCCUGAUUCUUUCCUUUUGAGCGCCUCUGUCAAUGAAAGGAGACGCCUCUUCAUCCUUCUCUUCCGUUAUCUCUGAUAUCGACAUAGUCUAAAAGGAUUUUGUUAUACGUUUGAAAUACAUGAGCUGUUCAAGUAGCAGUCCUUUUUAUGAAUACGUAGCUGAACAACAGAGGAAGCGGUACCGGGAAGGAACUAGGACGGCUAAAACGAUCCCCAUAAAAAACUGUGAAAGCCGGCCAAGAGAGACAUUUUCUUGCAACAAAUCCUUUUCAGAAGAGUAAUUUUCUCACUAAAAAAAGACUGAUUAUCCAAGGACUACACUGCAAUUCUGAGA
Juglans regia (Persian walnut) is the source of this 2376-nucleotide RNA transcript. It is a transcript of the gene named lactosylceramide 4-alpha-galactosyltransferase-like, with no coding region annotated. The record is from RefSeq and is a predicted model, not a curated record. The transcript is spliced from 3 exons. Lineage: Eukaryota; Viridiplantae; Streptophyta; Magnoliopsida; Fagales; Juglandaceae.